GAUCCUAGGGUCGGAUCGACUAGGUAUAAACAGAUAAGCUUCCAAAAAAGAGGGAGCACAACUCCCUAUUACCAAUGUGCAGAAACAUAACUUCAGGAAGUUUCAUUCUUGUGCUUUUUCCUAAUUCUAAAAUUAGAAAUUUGAUUUUGAUCCAUUCUGGAGCAUCUUCUAGCUUUCUUAGGGAGAUCUUUCCAUUCAUCAAACAAGACAGUAGUACCGUCUAAUCUCCUCCACCCAUUGAGCUAAUUCCCAUGGAAUAACAUUCCUGUCAGUUAGCAUAUUUACAACAAGCAACGAGUCCAUUUCCAAAAUGAUGUUACUGUGAGCUUGUUGAUUGCACCAAUUAACUGCAAAUAAGGCUGCUUGCACCUCAGCUUGAUAGUUAGUGCAUGAAUGGAGUUCUUUUUGGCAAAAGCCAUGAUCAAAUCUCUAUGUAUAUCCCUCUCACAAUACCAUCAGUUUGGUCAGCUGAGUUACUGCUACCAUCUGUAUUAACUUUUAACCAAUUAAGUGGAGGUUUUUCCCAACCAACUGGUGCAAUAGUUUACAUAGGUCUGGUGCUCUCUAGAGCAUUACAUAAGCCAUAAGGUAUGCCAGUUCCAUUUUAAGUCAAUUGGAGCACAAUCUUCUUUUAAUGGAUUUUCAGAUGAAAAAGAAUUUCCUAAUUUGUGAGGAUACAUGCUUUCAACUUAUUUUAUGAAGGAGCCUUUCUCCCUGACUAGCUAUUCGUUAUACAAGUUAAUCACGACCAAUUUUGUUCCAUCAACUAUUUAUACUGAUUAGCAUACACAUUUCAUCAUAUUUAAGCUUUCAACCUAUUAGAACUAUUGAACCUUUUUUCUCCUUAUAUUUAUUAUUACUAAGAUGGGUUUUCAUUAAUGAUAAGACCAUAUAUAUAUUGAGCGUGUAGACAAUUUUUAACCAUUAAUUUAUGUGUGAUUCAACGAGUGACCUCAAAGUUUCCAACUAGCAUAUGGAUUUGAGUGCAUGAAAUUAAGAGCCAUCGUGAGGUCACUGGUUUUGAUCCUUCUUCAAACUUGUUCCUUUAUUCUUCCUUCAAAAACUACUCUAGGCUUGUUGAUUUUACUUCAUUGUUACCUUUUCCUAUACUAUAACAUGUCCCUUGACAACCAAAUACUAAAGUUAAUAAAAAAAACAGCAACGAGCUAGGUGGACCUGAUACCACAUGUUCUUAAGGCAUGGGGAAAUGAGGUUCUUGUUUAAUUUGUCUCUGAUGCUUAGACUCUCUACUAGUGUUUGACUGGGUUUGUUUAGAAACAAGAUUUCUUCUAUUCAAAUUAAUGAAUGUUGGGCUCACUGGUUUUUAAUCUUACAAUACUUGUGGGACACGAAACUAGUAGUAUUAAAUUUUCUAUAUAGUAACAAAAAAGUUCCCAACAUACAGUAUACUCUGGUGUAAUGUAUGGCAAUCCAUGUUGCUGUCUUUUUUCAGAAGAUUUGCUGUAGCUCCUAUCCCUAUCCCUCUAUGCUUACUUUGUAUUUCUGUUUGCACUUUCUGCUUGGCAACAUAAGACUGGAGGAGAAAAAAGAAACUAAACUCCCUCCUUUCUCUCCGUUUGCACACAUCACUCCUGUCAAGAAAUUAAAUUAAUUAAAAGAAUAAUUUGACUGAUUUAUUCUUGUUUAUUCUUUAAUCUCAAAUUUAUUAUUACUACUUACUUUCACCAAAUUAUUUCUCCACAUUUAGUAGAUUAAGGGUUAAACAAUUUAAUAAAAUUAUCUCUCGUGUUUUCUAAAACGACAAGUGUUUUGAAACUUGUAAGUAAAUCGAGGCUACCUGAUUUCGUUCUUCGAUGGAAAAGGUGAUGCCACGUCGAGAGGCCAGGACGCCGAGCUCGGGGUCGAGGUUCCUUUCCAAUACCGAGGUUGAGGUCGAUACUAUUUGCCGAGGUCGGAAGAAGGCCCACUUCGAGAUAAUACCGUUGUGAUUUAGUAACAGAAAGCAAGAUACCCGCAAUGCCCGAAGAUCACGACGUAAAUUCUGGAACAGUUCGGUCCUUGGAGGUUAGACAGCUAUCCAAUAUGAUUCCCUUACUGUAAUUAGAAAUGCACCUUAUUUAGAACUCCUCUAUUAUAUAAAGGGCUCAUUCAUUUGUAGCGCAUUGUUCAUUGACAAGAGAAUAUACAUUCAUCACUUUCUUGCUUACUAUUCAUCAGAAUUGUCUUAUAAUUUGUUGUUCUUACUAGCACACCUCCAGACUGUCAUAGUUCUACGUCGAAAUUUGGCUUGC
RNAcentral lists this long non-coding RNA (2252 nucleotides) under Nicotiana tabacum (common tobacco). RNAcentral describes it as "long non-coding RNA (NTAB_LNC002406)". The record is from RNAcentral. Lineage: Eukaryota; Viridiplantae; Streptophyta; Magnoliopsida; Solanales; Solanaceae.